CCUACGGGAGGCUGCAGUGAGGAAUAUUGGUCAAUGGGCGCGAGCCUGAACCAGCCAAGUCGCGUGAGGGAUGACGGCUCUAUGGAUCGUAAACUUCUUUUAUAAGGGAAUAAAGUGUGGGACGUGUCCUAUUUUGUAUGUACCUUAUGAAUAAGGAUCGGCUAACUCCGUGCCAGCAGCCGCGGUAAUACGGAGGAUCCGAGCGUUAUCCGGAUUUAUUGGGUUUAAAGGGUGCGUAGGCGGCGUUUUAAGUCAGCGGGGAAAGUCUGUGGCUCAACCAUAGAAUUGCCGUUGAUACUGGGGGGCUUGAGUAUGUUAGAGGCAGGCGGAAUGCGUGGUGUAGCGGUGAAAUGCUUAGAUAUCACGCAGAACCCCGAUGGCGAAGGCAGCCUGCCAAGCCGUGACUGACGCUGAUGCACGAAAGCGUGGGGAUCAAACAGGAUUAGAUACCCUAGUAGUC
RNAcentral lists this ribosomal RNA (460 nucleotides) under uncultured bacterium. RNAcentral's name for it is "partial 16S ribosomal RNA". It matches the Rfam family "Bacterial small subunit ribosomal RNA", at positions 338 to 795 of the family's 1533-position model. The record is from RNAcentral.